CGGCGAACAACAAUACCUCUGAUUUCUAAGGAUGAACACGAACAACGAAAACAAUGAACCUGCUAAACUGCUGAAUGAGAAGAUCCAUAUACUUCUCUGGAGCCACAGGUGGAUAGAUCUAAUGCAGGAGAAAGAUUUCAAAAGAGACGCUGAAGUUGCCUGCUUUUUUUCUUGACAGGAUCCAUGCUGCAUGAAGUUACGAGUUGGACGUAAUGGCUAUCAAUGUAAAAGCCUUGUGCAGAGACCUUCUCAGAAUGUUCCUUCCUGACAUCAAUUACCUCUGCAGAGUAGAUGACACUUAAACCAAGGUCAUCACCCCUAGUGGAUGUCAUGCUGUGUCUGCAUCCACUGGUGACAUUUCCACACUGGAA
Long non-coding RNA from Pimephales promelas (fathead minnow), 371 nucleotides. RefSeq lists it as uncharacterized. The record is from RefSeq and is a predicted model, not a curated record. Lineage: Eukaryota; Metazoa; Chordata; Actinopteri; Cypriniformes; Leuciscidae.